This is a long non-coding RNA of Columba livia (rock pigeon), 9540 nucleotides long. RefSeq lists it as uncharacterized. NCBI's taxonomy places the organism in Eukaryota, Metazoa, Chordata, Aves, Columbiformes, Columbidae. The transcript is spliced from 2 exons. The record is from RefSeq and is a predicted model, not a curated record.
CCGCGCUCUCCCGGUGCCCGGGCGGGGCUGCGCUGGGGUCCGUCUGGUGCCCGGCGGGCGGGCGGGCGGGGAGGGCGAGGCCGCUCGUGGGCACCUGUGGGCACGCGUGGGUGGCGCGGCCGGCGCCGCCGCUUGGCGGGCAGCUGGAGCGGGGGCAGCGGGUGUGCCCGCCGGGUCCGGCGGUGUCGGCCGGUACGGGAAAAUCCCGUAGAAGAUGGUUCAGACUUGUAUUAUUUCUGCUUGUUGUUGCUGUUUAAUAUUUUGUUUCCUGAGGGAAAACUUGCCGUAAGAUCUGUGAGCAAAACGUGUUUGUGUUUUUGGAAUAUUUGCCAGCUGAGUAGUUUCUCCCUUGGGCUUCAUCUCUAGGGGUGAUCGGCUCGGGGCAGCCGUGCCACAGAGUAGCAGUUGCACGACUGAUACUUGUAAUCAGAUUCCUAGUUGGUAGCCUUUAUUUUGUGUGGGUUGUCUGUUGAAUUGCUCAGUAGUUAGUUUGGUUUUACAUUUCCUGAAGGUGUAGGCAAAGAUUAAAGAAAUGAGUGGACUUAAAGAGAAGUAUUUAUUAUUUUGUCAUGGGAUGUGUCUAUUUGAAACCUGUUUUGAUUAUUGUUGAUGUUCAAGAAAUUGCCGAGACUUAGAGGGCAAAUCUUGAUGUGCUGAGCGGAAGAGUGCAAUGGGUCUGUUUGGUUGCCAGGUGGCUUUCUUGACCCGUGUGGCCAGUUUAUCAAGAUUACACUGCACGCCUGAGAGAGUGAGAGAGAUCCCCUCCCUCCUUAAAUAAUUAGCAUGAUGCUAAUGGGAUGAAAUUCUUGUAUUGAUCAGCCUGGAUGUCAGUCCAGCUCUGUCCCAUCUCUGCCCCCCUCCCCCGAUACGUCACACCUGUGGGCAGAGCAGUCAGAAUGUCCUUGGCUCUCAGACCAGAGCAAUGAAAAACAUUAGCUCUGUGCUGGGGUGUUAUCUCGUGUUCUCAAACUAAGUCCAAAUAAUGACUGUGUGAGCUGUGAAAAAGAAAGGUUUCUAACUGCAUGAAGAAAAUCAGUUCACUUUCAGUCAAAACAGCACAAUUUCAGGUAUGGAGCCCUCAGGGCUCUGUCAGGGCUUUCUUUUCUCUUCUGCCUUCUUUUCUCUUCCCUUCCCCCCUGCCCUUCCCCCUUCCCUCUCCCUUCCUUCACUCUUCCCUCACUCUUCCCUAAAAACAACUUUCCAGGACACAAAAUGCAAUGGAUACAAGUGUUUCUGUUUUUUUUUAAUUAUUUUUUUAUUUUUUUAAUUUACUUCAUUUUAUGUUUUUUCAUGUUCUGUUAUUUCAUGUCAUUUGCAUUUCUCAGUCUUUUUCAGAGCCAAUGCUCACAAUCCUUCACACAAGCCCACAUGUAGCCAGGAGCAGGCUGAUGCAUUCUUCAGUUUAGCUUGAAAAAACAGCCCUUGCGGGCUGGCAAAGGCAAGUCCCAGAGCUGCAGAGAGCAGCAGCAGGAAUAGAGACCAAGCUUUCCCUGGUUCCUCAAGAGGGCGAACCUUGAGAAUGAGGCGCGGGAGUGACCACGCACAAAAGAAGAGGUAUGUGGUACUGUGGGAUCUUUUCCAAAGCAUCACAUGUAGCGAUGACAAGCAGAUGUUUUGCCUUGCACACCUUGUUUGGCUGCUGUGCUUCUUGGGCAGGGUGCACGAGAAGCGCUGUGGGCCCUGCCAGGCGCUGGUGUUGCCCGCAGGGAGAGGUGCCGAGUGGCAGCCGCGAAUCCUUCCUGUUCCUGACAGGACACCAGUGGCUGCUCCAAAGCACUGGGUCCCCAUGCAACAUCUUUGCAUCCUGUUUCCUACAUCUGCCUUCUUUGUAACUUGUUUGGGUUUUGCCUGUUUCUUUCUACCUUGUUUAGUUUUUUGUUUUUGUUGUUGAUGUUGUUUCUGUUGUUGUUGUUUUGGAUUUGUUGGGUUUUUUAAGUUUGUUUCAUUUAGGUGGUUUAGGUUAGUUUAUAUUAGUUGCUUUUGGUAGGCUUUUUGAGACUGGUUGUUCCAAGUUGCUUGUUUGACACCGUAUGACGUUGUUGGUAGGUUGUGUGUUGGUAGGUCACUGAAGGCUGGUUGUUUUAGGUUAAGGUUUGUUAAGUUUGGUUUAGGUUGGCGGUCUUAGAUUGCUUGUUUCAGGUUUGAUGGUUUAGCUUGGUUUUGGUUGUUUAGUUUAGGUGGCUUGGUUUAGGUUGGUUGAUGUUAUUUUCUUACCACUGAUCUAUGUUGUUUAGCUUAGGAGGUUUAUUUUUCUUGGUUUUGCUGGGUUCUUUGGUUGGUGCUGUUUUCUGACGAUUCUUUAGCACUGGUUGUGUUAGUUUGGUUUAGGUUUCUGGUUUUAGUAGCUUGGUUCAUUUUGUUGCGGUCGUUUGAGGUUGGUUUGAGGCAGGUUGUUUGAGGGUGGUUGCUGAAGGCUGGUGGGUUUAGGUUGCUUGAUAUAGGUGAUUUUUGGUUGAAGUUGUCUUCUGUUGGUGGUUUUAGGUGGCGUAUCUGAAGUUGUUUUCGUUGAGGCCGUUUUCAGUAGUUUGGUUGAGGUUUGUUUAGAUGAUUUUAAGUUGGGGCUUGGCUGGUUGGUUAUUUCAGGUUGUUUCUUUUCAGUAAGCAGUUUAGGUGGGUUGGUGGGUGUCUGUGUUUUUAGGUAGGUUGGUUUAGGCAGGUUUGGUUUACAUUGUUUGGGUUGCUCGAAGGGUUUCUGCUAAGGUUGGUUCAGGUUGUUUGGUUUAGGUUGGUUUAGUUAUUUUUUGGUAGGUUGUUUUAGGCAGUGUUAUUUACGUUGUGUGUUUUGAAGAUGGGUUCCUUCAGGCUGGGGUGGUUUAGAUUGGUUGUUGAGGAUGCUUUAGGUGGUUUGGUUAGAUUUACAUUGUGUUUUGUUGGUUUUAGGUUGUGUCUGGAUGAUUUGGAUGUGACUGUAAUCUCGCUGGGACAUGUGUCCCCCUACUAAUCACCAGGCUUGAUUGGGCUGUUUCUGCUGUCUCAGCAGAUGUCCCCUUCCUCCUUCCCUGCUCCAUGUGUUUCCCUGCCUUGCUCAGAGAGGACAACCUUCCCCGCUAGAGGCGAACUGUUGCUAGAUCAAGGGUAUACGGUAGCUGCGCUGUGCUUGAGAACCUCCAAACAAGCUCAGGGUCCAUUAGUAGGAGAACCUGGGGUAGUCAAGCUUCCAAGACUGCAGACACAUCCAAGUGAGACACUGCAUGGGGUAGGGUGGCUGUUGGUUGGAUUUUUGUUGUUGAGUUUUUUUAGGGUGUUUUAGCUUCGUUGAUGAAGUUGAGUUGAUUUAGAUUGUUUUUUAGCUUGGUCAUUGUAGGCUGGUUUCAGUGGUUCUAUUUAGCUUUGGGUUGUUUGCUUUAGGUCGUUUUGGUCAGGUUAUGUCAUUUGGUUUCAUAUUUUUUAGGUUGGUUUAGAUCGGUUGUUUUAGGUAGUUUUAUCCUUUAUUAGAUUGUUUUUAAGUUGUUUGAGAUUGUUUAAUGGUUGUUUUAGGUUAAGAUUGGUUGUUUUCGGUUUGUUUAGCUUGUUUGGCUAUAGGUUGCUUAAGGUUGGCUGAGAAAUGCCGGUUUAUGUAGUUUUAGGUAGGAUUUUUUAGACCAUUUGGUUUGGGUAGGUUUGUUUUAGGGUGUUUAGGUUGGUUUAUUUUGUUUGGUUUAGGUUGGUUUAGGUAAUUUGUUGUCGAUUGUUUAAGGUUCUGUUUAGGUUGUUGGUGGCUGAUUGAAGUAUUUUAAGGCAGACUGGUUUAGGUUCUUUAAGGUUGGUUUAGGUGAGUUGUUCUAUCCUGGUUUAGGCAGACUGUUCUAACUAAGUUUAGGGCCAACUCGUGGAGCAGCAGGCACCCAGCCCAAAUGGCCCAAAGAAGCCGUGGCAGGGGCCGUGCUCAGCGCUGCAGAGGAAGGCAAAAUCCCCCAGAGACGCUUGGUGUCCCACCUGGGGGAAAAAAAAGCCUUCCUCCCCCCAGCUGCAGGGCACGAGAGGCCAUGUUCCUGGUGCUUGAGCAGCAGGCAGGAUCUGAGCCAAAAGGGCCCAGAGGAGCUCUGCAAAGUGGUCACGCUCAAUGCUGCAGAGGAAGGCAAAAAACCCCCGGGCACCAGGGCCAAUCUGCCCCGGGGGAAAAAAUUCCUUCCUGACCCCAGUGCUGGCGAUCGGCUGUUCCCUGAGCAUGUGAGCCAGACCUCGCUCCUUGUCCCACAGGCUGCUCACGCCCUCCCAGGACCUGCUCAAGCCCUCGCCUAUCCUAUCCUAUCCUAUCCUAUCCUAUCCUAUCCUAUCCUAUCCUAUCCUAUCCUAUCCUAUCCUAUCCUCCCUUGAGCUGGAGCCAUCUCCCGGACUUCCGAGAGUGCCCAAAUGGCUCUGACCUGAUGGACCUUGGGGGCAAGAAUCGUUUCUGUGCCUGGUGGGACACCAGUGGGUGUUCCAAAGCACUGCAACCCCUGGCAACCCCUCUACCUCCUAUUUCUUACGGCUCCUGAGCCUGGCUCCGCAGGGGAUGAGGAUGGUGAGCUCUGCUGUGCUCCUCCAGAAGAAAUUCCCUUGCUUUCUCCACUGCCAUCCAGCUGAAAAGGAUUUCCAUCCUUGAGCUGAGCUUGGAAGGUGGCCCUGCCAGCAGAUCACCUUGAAGUGGAGAACCUUCCGCAGCCUCAUGCAAAGUCUUCCUCCCUCAGCCCCUGCCCUGUGAUUCCAGCAGCUCCUCAAGUGCUUCCUGUGGGAUGUGUUGGGGCUGCCCCCGGGCCAGCUCUGGCAGUGGACACGGGACCCGGCUGCUCCUUUUGAUCCUGCCCGGAGCAUUGUGACCUCAGCGUUGCCGGGUGCUGGCAUUGUGACACGGGGGUGCAGCCCUAAUAAUAUAAACUAAUAAAUAGUCCUUUUCCAGGAGCAUGCAGGGCACACUUCAAGACUCUCUUCCCCUCUCUAGACAACCAUUUCUCACUUCCCUCAUGCCCAGACACCUUCACUGUGAUGGCAUGAGAAGGCAGCAGGACUCACUUAUUACUUUCUCAGCAGAAGUAACUUUUAAACAUGUAAAAUAACCUGAGGCGGCUCUGGGCUGUUUAAAAAAAUAAAAGUCUUUAACCACUUUUGCAAACAAACAGGAUAAGAUAACUAACAGGAUUUUUCAAAAGACAUCUUCUGAUACUUCAGUCUGACCCCUAGAUUCUAAAACAGGACCUUGCAAACUAUGAUUUAUAUAUUCUGCUUACUUGUUUUCCGGCAACAUCUCAUCCAUAUGUGUGCUAUUACUGUAUUUUACAGAGUUGUAUUUAUUUUAGAAGCAAUGGUGAUCUCAAAUGUUAAGAAUGAACUGCCAUUUCCUCUAACACAAGUAGCUGUGAGCUAUUAUCUAGAUGCAUAUUAUACUAAUGAGAUCAGAGACUCAUAAUCCCUACGAACACAGAGGCACAGGUUGAAUAAGAAAUCUUUGCUAAUGAAGUGAACUGUCUAUGUUGCAGCUCUUAGACCCGAGAUAUUACUUCAUACAUUAAGGUACAUGAGCCUCAAAUAACACAAAACAACUCUGUUUUAUGCACAUGUAAUUUUAGACUAUGAAUGCACAAAUCAACGCACACAGAGUAGACAAGUAAAAUGCUUGGAAGGUUUUGCAGAACUAGCAGAAGGGAGAUAAAUAACCAAAGAGGAGUCAAGAUAUAUUGCAUAGAGAUGUUCGCCACUGGAUGUUUUCCCAAUGCUUUCUUAUAGAUGUUCAUAUUACAAAAUAAAGCUUUUGCACUUUUGUCUUCCUGAGCUUUCCAUUCUUUGUGAGCUGUGAAAUAUCUGUGAAAAAAUGAAACACCAUCCUAAUCUUACACUAUGAUAUCAAAAGAAAGUGCCACAACGUAACAUUCUGAUUAGACGACUGUUGUAGUAUUAGUGGAUGUCUUCUGUUUGAAGAAAUUUUUCAAUAUGGUAGCUCUCUUCUGAUAGGGGAUAGGGUGGGGAAAUCAGCAGUGCAAGAGAGGUUUAAUUAAACCAACAAACCCAUCCAUUGUCACUUGGGACUAAUGCCAUAGUUAAGUGCUUUUUAUAGGCAGCAGCCUAAGAAACACAUGCCAGUUAUUUGAACUGAAGUGGAAAUGCUCUGCCUGGGCACUCAUCACACCAUCCCAUCCUCUGGGAGACUCCAGCAUGUCAGAAAAGUAAAGAGAAAGAUGGGGAAAUGAAACAUCACAAAAAUAAGUUGCAAGUGAAGUGCCGUCUCUCAUUUGUUAAGGAGGAACAUGGAGUACAUUGUUACGGGUAGCUGAGAAAUGUCAUUCUUGUAAAAUUAGUCUUUCACAUAAUUUUGGUCUGUAGAGAAAACUCACUGAAUUUGUUUGCUUUUCUGUAGAUUAGCAUGGGUCCUGCAGCUAGCAUACAUGGCCGAGAACUUUACAUUAUAUGCAGCUGUUGUCCAUAGAAAUAAUUCCCUUUUACUCUCAAAGACUUAGAGAUGAGCAGCAUAUAAUUUCUUCAGUGUCUACUUAUCACCCAAGGAAGUCAACAAAUCUCUUUUCCAUAGCUACAAGGAGUUUUCAAAGAUGUGACAGUUCCCUCCAGACAUCAACUGACCUUAAAGAAGGAGCAAAAUACAAAAGGAUCAAUACAUGUGAAAAAGACCUUUGGUAUUAGGGAACUGAGAUGAACUGGUGCACCUUUCUUCCCUACUGAUUUGAAAAGAAUGCUGUUUGACUGCUGCUCAUACUGAUAAUCCACAAAAUAUUUGCUACACUUUUUUAGCCAAAGGACUAAGGCAGUGCCAUCAGCAACUUCAGAGCACACCCUCAAACAAAAAUCAGAUACUACAGCUCAAAGUCUGAGGAAACAGCAUCAAUGACUAAUGACAGCUGUAACGUGGAAGGCACAGUAAGCAACAGUUGUAGAAGUUCAUUAAUAAUUUGUCAUGGCUCUGUUUUGAAUACUGACAUUUUGCACUGCUUUUAUUAUACCUGUUAUUAUGAGAUCAUGACAUCACCUAUCAGACAAGUGUAACUUUCUUCACUUUGAAAUGAAAACUUCUGGACAAUACACAAAGUUACACAAGUGAGGGAAGUACACAGUGAUUUCACAGGCAAUUUGGAACUGGGCUCUUGACUUGCAUUUCUAACUUUGAAAACCUCUCUCCAAAUCAUUUGCCAUCUUUCAUUAAGAUCCAGCAGCAGCUCUCUCCUGUGCCUCCUGCUUUCCUUUAGUCAUCCAAAGCCCACAGAGCUGCACCACAAGCUUGAAGAACAGUAUGCCAGCCUCAUGUCCUGCUUCUGUCACCUAGUUUUUAUGUACCAUUUCUCACCAAUUACAACACCCAGUGAUUCCUCAUCACACAUGACACUUCAGUAGGUACAUCCACGCAUUAUUUCAGCAGCAUUGUAUUUGCACAGAUUAGCUGUUGAACCCUCCAGAUGAUGUCUUGCCUUUCGAGAAGGGUGUAGUACAACUGCUGGGAUUCUACAGGAAGUCAACAGGGCAAUAGUGAAGAGAAACAACUGUGUUUAAACAUCUAAAAGGUAGCUAUGAAGAAAAACUUUUGUGUACAUCCAUUGCACACAGGACACAGAAUAAUGAGGCUUAAGUUAAAAACCUGAAAAACGUAGGGUAUGCAGCAACCUUUGCAACAGCAGUAAUAUUAAUGGGAUUUUUAAAGAAUAAAUUAGGCAAGCAUUUGUAAGGAAUUAUACGGAAAAUUGAUCAUCCUCCUUUGGGAUGCGAGCAACACUAGACUAUCUUUCAAGGUUCUUCUUUCCUCAUUGAUGCCCCCCUGCAUGUUUCCGUGGCCAUCACACAUCAACCAUCAUCAUAUUAUCAAGGAUUAACAGCAUUUGGAUGCACAGAAAUUGUCUUUAGAGUGAUGUCCGCAGACUUUGGAGUCAAGAUCUGCUCUUUUUCUCUCCCAAGCUUGAAAGCUCUCUUCAGUUUAAGACUGUUUUCAAAAUACUGAGUGAAGUAGAAAUUAAAUGCACACACUGGAACAUGCAUAGAAUUGUGUUAAAAACAACGCAAUGCAAUAAUUCUACACUGGCUAGAAAUCUCUGAAGUGUUCUGAUGAAGACUCAGCUUAUUUCUAGGAAAUAAAGUCUUUGGGGCCAAAAUCAACAUGAUGUUCCAAUCCAAUCUAUUUUUUUUUCUAAAAAUAUUUUUUUCUUUAUAUAUUGAAAAAUGCUGGAGAAGGAAAUCGGGACAGAAAUGAAAACCCAUUCAGGGAGUCAGUGGUAUAGAUUGUCACCACACAAUCUGAACAUGGUAACUGCAGCUCAUAUAUUCAGAACAAGCGAGUCAAAAGUCGCACACUCCCUGGGAUAGGGAAGGGUCUUUCUCCUUCAACAGGCUCAGGCAAGAAGCUCUCACUGUAUUUUGAGCUAAGACACAGUGAGCAGAAUGCAGGUUUUCUGACAGAUAAAGCAAGACAAAAGGAUCUAGUGCAGCAACGUCUUUGCAGUCUCUUGCUCCUAAGCCCCCUUCUUCAACUCUUCUUUCUUCUGGAGACGUGAAGACAAAGCGUGUCCUGUCCCUGGAAGCCCACACUGUACCCUGCUUGUCCAUGGCAAGAGACAGAACCUGCCAUUUGUCUCCAAAGACAUUUAUGCACAGAGAUGAGUGGAGCACUGGAUCAUGGAAGCAUAAGCUGCAGCGGACAUGAUUUAGAAUCAGUUCUUUUCUUGUCCUUGCUGACAAAAUAAAACCAGCAAUUCCUUACUUCAUAGAAAUUCUCCUAAAGUAGUAGCUGCUCCCAAUAUCUGUCAAGUCUUCAAUAUCACAGGCGAACAGACGCAGCCAGAAGAACAUUUCCUCUAAUGACUGCUCUGAACUACACAGGCAGGCACAGGCAGCUCCCAGUGCCAUUAAAUACACACAGGACCACUUGGUGGUGAAAGCAGAAUCACCACUGACAUUAGUUUUGUUUUAUAACCCCUUGAACAUGAACUGGGUCUGGUCUGUCUGUCCUCACUUGCCAAACACCAUGCCGGUGCCUUCACUAUAAGAAAGUGGAGCUACCGAGCAAAAGAAGUCCAAGAGAGCUGAACCUCAAAGCCAGGAGAACCAAAGGCUGCUGAGCACCACACAGAUGCAGCCACUUGGAGGAGCUUCCAGAAUUCUACAGCAUUUUAUCACAUGCUUUCUGGUGACACAGCCUGAAGAUCUGUUUAAACACAUGAUCCAGCUUAGUAUCUGCCUGUACCCCAAAGAAGAGCAACAUCAGCUCACAACUGGUGUUUUCUACAGACCUGGGCCAUAAACAAACGUGCCAGACACAGAAAAACUAAAGACUUAGAGCAGCUGAAAUAUUAUUUUUCCAUUCCAUCAACCAGUUAUGAAACUACCUAUGGCCUGUGCACUUACAGAACAGAACACGAUAACUAACAAAAAGAAAGGCUUUUAUUCAGAAUAGAUCAGUGCGCCUUUACAAAAAGUCAUGAGUUAAACACACAAGUCAGCGUUAUCAUUAGCAACGCACCUUCUCUGAAGAGGAACUCCUCAUCUUUUAUCAAAUGUCAACUGCAAGAGUGUGUAAACAAAACAAAACAAUCCACACCAAAAUCCACCCACAUCCCAAAAGCCCUGUUUAGAUUAUACAUCUAUAUAACA